RNAcentral lists this ribosomal RNA (2904 nucleotides) under Escherichia coli HVH 82 (4-2209276). Its description in RNAcentral is "bacterial LSU rRNA". It matches the Rfam family "Bacterial large subunit ribosomal RNA". Lineage: Bacteria; Pseudomonadati; Pseudomonadota; Gammaproteobacteria; Enterobacterales; Enterobacteriaceae. The record is from RNAcentral.
UUAAGCGACUAAGCGUACACGGUGGAUGCCCUGGCAGUCAGAGGCGAUGAAGGACGUGCUAAUCUGCGAUAAGCGUCGGUAAGGUGAUAUGAACCGUUAUAACCGGCGAUUUCCGAAUGGGGAAACCCAGUGUGAUUCGUCACACUAUCAUUAACUGAAUCCAUAGGUUAAUGAGGCGAACCGGGGGAACUGAAACAUCUAAGUACCCCGAGGAAAAGAAAUCAACCGAGAUUCCCCCAGUAGCGGCGAGCGAACGGGGAGCAGCCCAGAGCCUGAAUCAGUGUGUGUGUUAGUGGAAGCGUCUGGAAAGGCGCGCGAUACAGGGUGACAGCCCCGUACACAAAAAUGCACAUACUGUGAGCUCGAUGAGUAGGGCGGGACACGUGGUAUCCUGUCUGAAUAUGGGGGGACCAUCCUCCAAGGCUAAAUACUCCUGACUGACCGAUAGUGAACCAGUACCGUGAGGGAAAGGCGAAAAGAACCCCGGCGAGGGGAGUGAAAAAGAACCUGAAACCGUGUACGUACAAGCAGUGGGAGCACGCUUAGGCGUGUGACUGCGUACCUUUUGUAUAAUGGGUCAGCGACUUAUAUUCUGUAGCAAGGUUAACCGAAUAGGGGAGCCGAAGGGAAACCGAGUCUUAACUGGGCGUUAAGUUGCAGGGUAUAGACCCGAAACCCGGUGAUCUAGCCAUGGGCAGGUUGAAGGUUGGGUAACACUAACUGGAGGACCGAACCGACUAAUGUUGAAAAAUUAGCGGAUGACUUGUGGCUGGGGGUGAAAGGCCAAUCAAACCGGGAGAUAGCUGGUUCUCCCCGAAAGCUAUUUAGGUAGCGCCUCGUGAAUUCAUCUCCGGGGGUAGAGCACUGUUUCGGCAAGGGGGUCAUCCCGACUUACCAACCCGAUGCAAACUGCGAAUACCGGAGAAUGUUAUCACGGGAGACACACGGCGGGUGCUAACGUCCGUCGUGAAGAGGGAAACAACCCAGACCGCCAGCUAAGGUCCCAAAGUCAUGGUUAAGUGGGAAACGAUGUGGGAAGGCCCAGACAGCCAGGAUGUUGGCUUAGAAGCAGCCAUCAUUUAAAGAAAGCGUAAUAGCUCACUGGUCGAGUCGGCCUGCGCGGAAGAUGUAACGGGGCUAAACCAUGCACCGAAGCUGCGGCAGCGACGCUUAUGCGUUGUUGGGUAGGGGAGCGUUCUGUAAGCCUGUGAAGGUGUGCUGUGAGGGAUGCUGGAGGUAUCAGAAGUGCGAAUGCUGACAUAAGUAACGAUAAAGCGGGUGAAAAGCCCGCUCGCCGGAAGACCAAGGGUUCCUGUCCAACGUUAAUCGGGGCAGGGUGAGUCGACCCCUAAGGCGAGGCCGAAAGGCGUAGUCGAUGGGAAACAGGUUAAUAUUCCUGUACUUGGUGUUACUGCGAAGGGGGGACGGAGAAGGCUAUGUUGGCCGGGCGACGGUUGUCCCGGUUUAAGCGUGUAGGCUGGUUUUCCAGGCAAAUCCGGAAAAUCAAGGCUGAGGCGUGAUGACGAGGCACUACGGUGCUGAAGCAACAAAUGCCCUGCUUCCAGGAAAAGCCUCUAAGCAUCAGGUAACAUCAAAUCGUACCCCAAACCGACACAGGUGGUCAGGUAGAGAAUACCAAGGCGCUUGAGAGAACUCGGGUGAAGGAACUAGGCAAAAUGGUGCCGUAACUUCGGGAGAAGGCACGCUGAUAUGUAGGUGAAGCGACUUGCUCGUGGAGCUGAAAUCAGUCGAAGAUACCAGCUGGCUGCAACUGUUUAUUAAAAACACAGCACUGUGCAAACACGAAAGUGGACGUAUACGGUGUGACGCCUGCCCGGUGCCGGAAGGUUAAUUGAUGGGGUUAGCGGUAACGCGAAGCUCUUGAUCGAAGCCCCGGUAAACGGCGGCCGUAACUAUAACGGUCCUAAGGUAGCGAAAUUCCUUGUCGGGUAAGUUCCGACCUGCACGAAUGGCGUAAUGAUGGCCAGGCUGUCUCCACCCGAGACUCAGUGAAAUUGAACUCGCUGUGAAGAUGCAGUGUACCCGCGGCAAGACGGAAAGACCCCGUGAACCUUUACUAUAGCUUGACACUGAACAUUGAGCCUUGAUGUGUAGGAUAGGUGGGAGGCUUAGAAGUGUGGACGCCAGUCUGCAUGGAGCCGACCUUGAAAUACCACCCUUUAAUGUUUGAUGUUCUAACGUUGACCCGUAAUCCGGGUUGCGGACAGUGUCUGGUGGGUAGUUUGACUGGGGCGGUCUCCUCCUAAAGAGUAACGGAGGAGCACGAAGGUUGGCUAAUCCUGGUCGGACAUCAGGAGGUUAGUGCAAUGGCAUAAGCCAGCUUGACUGCGAGCGUGACGGCGCGAGCAGGUGCGAAAGCAGGUCAUAGUGAUCCGGUGGUUCUGAAUGGAAGGGCCAUCGCUCAACGGAUAAAAGGUACUCCGGGGAUAACAGGCUGAUACCGCCCAAGAGUUCAUAUCGACGGCGGUGUUUGGCACCUCGAUGUCGGCUCAUCACAUCCUGGGGCUGAAGUAGGUCCCAAGGGUAUGGCUGUUCGCCAUUUAAAGUGGUACGCGAGCUGGGUUUAGAACGUCGUGAGACAGUUCGGUCCCUAUCUGCCGUGGGCGCUGGAGAACUGAGGGGGGCUGCUCCUAGUACGAGAGGACCGGAGUGGACGCAUCACUGGUGUUCGGGUUGUCAUGCCAAUGGCACUGCCCGGUAGCUAAAUGCGGAAGAGAUAAGUGCUGAAAGCAUCUAAGCACGAAACUUGCCCCGAGAUGAGUUCUCCCUGACCCUUUAAGGGUCCUGAAGGAACGUUGAAGACGACGACGUUGAUAGGCCGGGUGUGUAAGCGCAGCGAUGCGUUGAGCUAACCGGUACUAAUGAACCGUGAGGCUUAACCUU